CUGAGCACUGCACACAUCCCGCAUGUCCCUGUCGGUCGUGAACGCACCCCCGCGCACUGCCCCGCUAACUUAUGAAACCCCGACCAAUCUGUCCCCAAGAUUAGGAGGAUCUGCAGGAGCUCCAGUCUUCGCCAGAUUAUUCUCGCUUCUAGAGUGCCUACCUCCUGUUGCCGGAAUUGGCUACACGUUUGGAGCCUUCCGUUUCUCCCCCUGCCUGCUCGCCCCACCACGGACUCUAGCCUCAGCAUACAGCCAGCACCCUCCUUUUCUAUCUGGACUCCCCUCUACUACAGUAAGGACUACCAACCUCACCACUGGAUUCAUCAUUCCUUUCAACCCUCCCGUCUUUUUCUUUAUCUAGUGCCCCUCCUUUCCUGAGGUUCCUCAUCAAAAAA
Molecule: non-coding RNA, 395 nt
Organism: Gasterosteus aculeatus aculeatus (three-spined stickleback)
Lineage: Eukaryota; Metazoa; Chordata; Actinopteri; Perciformes; Gasterosteidae
Source: RefSeq, a predicted model, not a curated record